UACGUAGGUGGCGAGCGUUGUCCGGAUUUACUGGGCGUAAAGGGAGCGUAGGCGGAUUUUUAAGUGAGAUGUGAAAUACUCGGGCUCAACUUAAGUGCUGCAUUUCAAACUGGAAGUCUAGAGUGCAGGAGAGGAGAAUGGAAUUCCUAGUGUAGCGGUGAAAUGCGUAGAGAUUAGGAAGAACACCAGUGGCGAAGGCGAUUCUCUGGACUGUAACUGACGCUGAGGCUCGAAAGCGUGGGGAGCAAACAGG
This 253-nucleotide ribosomal RNA is filed under the name uncultured bacterium. RNAcentral describes it as "partial 16S ribosomal RNA". It matches the Rfam family "Bacterial small subunit ribosomal RNA", at positions 524 to 776 of the family's 1533-position model. The record is from RNAcentral.